GGCUGUGGAUGGGACAGUCUCAAACUCCAUGUUCCCCCAGACCCAGGGCCCAUCCUGGCACCCAGCCCACAGUGGGCCCUGAGGAAGCAUGGACCUCCGGGGUAGCCAGAAUCCAUUCCUUCCCAUGUCAAGCCCUGUGCUGGGCCCACCCAGCCUCUUCUGUCCUGGGGAAAUCACCCCAGGGCUGGGGACCUGGCCCCAGGGCCCUCAUGGGAUGUUGUCACCAGGACCAAAAGCUGGGAGACCCAGAGCCAGAGAAUUAGGCUGAGAAUUGGGAGACAGAGCCUUCUUGGGACAGGUGACCUGCCUUGUACCAGCUGCCGUAUUCCCCAUAGGGGGCGCUGUCCCGGCGCUUAUCCUGGAGGAAAGAAUGGUCACAAGAAAGAUGAGCAGAACAGACCCUUGCACCUCAGGCCACAGCCCAAGACAUGUGCUAGGCCUGAAUGAUGGGCCAGGCUCCGAGGGACUCAGGAGCAGAUGACUGACCAUCCGGGGCCAGAGGUGGUUUCCCAGAGUGGGAGACACUGGGGCAGGCCCUCAAGGACUGCCAGGUUGUUUAGUGUCGCAGCCACCUGGAGGUGGGAGAACGGAAGCUUCUUGACUCAGGCCCUGCAGGACUCUGGGACCUGCAGGGGAUGGGGCACAGCCCCCACCUCCCACCCAACCCUCACUCACGGCUGGGUGGUCCUUGCCCAGUGUUUUCUCCCGGAUGGCCAGAGCAUCAUUGAGCAGCUCCUCACGCAGCCACUGGUUCUCCUGCACCAGACGCCGCACCUGCGCCCGCAGCUUCUGCUUCUCUGAUUCUACAGCCCCCAGGUGGCUCGACAAUGCCAAGAUCACCUGUGCAACCAGCCCAGAACUCUGCUAGAUGGCUGAAGGACCACCCAAAGACUCCAUCCCCACUUCUGCUGAGGGGCCACAGCAUCCCCUGCCUUUCUGCAGCUCCCAGGUCUUGCUGGACCUACCUCCAGAACAUCCAGAACUGGUCCCUUUUCUCCACCGUCAUAGCCACCCCUUAAUUCCAAGCAC
RNAcentral lists this long non-coding RNA (1029 nucleotides) under Homo sapiens (human). Its description in RNAcentral is "HSALNT0363377". The record is from RNAcentral. Lineage: Eukaryota; Metazoa; Chordata; Mammalia; Primates; Hominidae.